GAAUGUGACAAUCUCCUAGACCAAGGGGAGAGGACACGCGGCGGGCUCGAGGAGGAGGAGGGUGAGUCCACGCGGCGGUCGGGAGAAGGAGGGAGGGAAAGACGACGCGGCGCCCGGGAGUGGGAUUGAAGUCGAGUGCGGCGCCCCGGAGAGGGAGCGAGGUUUAGGACGCGUCGGCCGGGAGAGGGAGUGACGUGUAGAACGCGGUGGCCUGGAGAGGGAGCUAGAUAGAGGACGCGGCGGCGAAAGGAAAGAACGACGGAGAGGACGCGACAGCCGCACAAGCUAGAUGCACGUGCCGAAUAAGUAGAGUGGGAGAGAGCUAGACGUCCUAUGUUCUCCUUCUUCCGUCCCAGAUCCACGAUGAGGCCGCGCCGCCGUCUAGCUUCGUUUGGGAGGAGAGGAGUUCUACCAGUUCUUCUACUUGUUUUCUUUUUACUACCAAUCUCCUCGGCGACAAAAACAGUGUGAACGACGUUACCGUCAGUAACAAGCUCGAAAUUAUUCCUUCUCUUCUGGUGCAUAAUGUAUACCGGGUUACGUACUUUCUCUAUCCUAGUCUAAACUAAUAGAUUUGGUUUUUUUAACCGUUUCGCUACACAACACAUUUUUGUACAAUUCCAAACUUUCUCGACGUAAGUUUUAUGUUUACUUUACGACGACUUUAAAACUUAAAAACAAUAAGAUAAAAAAAGACGUUACUAUCAACCAAGAAGUUGGUUUGUGUGGGAUUCUCAGGAGAAAAAAUAAAGCGACUCGUAGUGCGAUCGGCUUCCCACCUCGAUACAUUCCCCGUUGGACCCGGCACCGGGCGGGUAGCGACCUUUGGUUUAAAUCGAUCCGGGUCAGGUGUGGUCGACUGGUCGUAUCGCGCGUUGUGCGUCAUCGGGCGUAGGUCCUUGAGUGCCGUGCCUGUUGUUUGUGACAAAAGAGAUCGCCGGCGGCGGGCGGCGGCCUAGCAGUGUGUCCCGUGUCGUCGGUCGGCGGGGGGCGAGGGCGACCGGUCGCCGUGUUUAGCCGGCGGCGGGUGCCUGCUGAUCGGGUGGCCGUCGGUCGUCGCGCUGCUGCCGCUCAGCCGGCUGGGUGUCAUCACUUCUACACCGCCGCCGGCGUUCAACAGGACACAGCGCAGAGCGACCGCUUGGACAGAGGUCGUCGUACCUGACCACCACCCCGCUCGAUGGUACCGAGGAGCAGUCUCCCCCCCUUCCCUUUCCGCCGCGGAAACGUCCGUGCACCCUACCACCUAUCCAAAGCCGAUGAACGGUCCCCACCGCUGCCACCGUUACCGACGUAGUCGGUUUCCGCGAGGUCCAGGCUGGCUGUUCCGUCCGGGCUACCACCGCUACCUCCCUGUCCACCAUUACAGUAAGAACUCACGAGUUCUAGACAGACCCUAAAGUCAUUGAACGUUGUAGUGUGCUUUCGUCAGGCUCCUCCGUUACCUGAAAGAUUCUUUGUCUAUCCCUGUUCUCCAGGACUGUUCCAACGUGUUCAUGGUCAACCGUGUCACUAAGUAGAUCAGGCUCCCCUCGCUGGCAGAAAGUGAAAUUUAUUUGGUUGGUCUAGAGAUCUAGGGACCCUAUAGGGUCUACGACACCUACUGAGACGUCUGUCAAGGUUAGUCUUCUUGUUCCUACCGUAAUUACCUUUACUUCGACUUUCUCUUUCAUCGUUAGUCGCCCUCUUCGUUUGUAUGGGAUCAUGUACGAGGUUCUGACCCAAAAGCUUGCGACUUCUACCACUACGUUUAUCGUAAGUUGUAGUCCAGCUCAAACUACUUUUACUAGUCAAACUACUGCUGCUACUUCUUAAAACCCUCCUACUUCUGCUCUGCCUCCUUCUCCGAGAUCUACGUCUACUCCUAUCCCUUCUUCUACUGUAUGUCAUAAGACAACGACUUUACUGUUCUGGACCCGUUGCCAACUAGCAUCGUGUUCCUCCCCUCCCACCCGAUCCCUUACGAAGAUAGCCGUCUCUGCAGGCAGAUAGGUUUCCUUUAUCUGUUCUCCUCCAUCGGGCAAAUUCAUGACCUGUCCGUCCUUGUCUCAGAAAAGAACAGAAUCUUGACUUCUCGUAACGACUACAACCGGAACAACCAAACGGAUUACGGCCUUUCUCGUGUGAAGACUCACGAGAGAGAUCCCGAGCGGGUCUCUAGCGACUGAUACGCAAGUGGUGUGAUUCCGGGUUAUAACCAUCGGACUGGAUGCUGCUGAUGAACAGUCACUUUCAACGACUGUAUGGACCAGAAUAGUUUCCACGGGUACUCUUGGCACCGGACCCGGUACGGAAGAACUCCGUGUAACUCGCGUGGUUUCAAGACAGGAUACAUGAACUGGACCGUCGUUGUGAGUUGCCAUCCUUCCCAUAGGGUGGUACCCUCGUCGAUGCGCUAGACCAGCACCUCGAUCUCGUAAUGGUUCUUCCGUACUGUUUCGCGGGUAGCAACUAACAGCGUUUGUUUUAUCUACUUCUCCCUCGACUUCGUUACAUACUUCUUGACUUCUCCUCUCACGUUCCACAAGGCUAUAAAGGUCACACACGGUAGAACGUUCUCCCUUAUGGACUAGACUCUCAACCGGACUCUCUGGAAUACCUACGGAGCCUAGGCGUUCCACAGCUAAACUCGUUUUAAUAACAUCCGAUUUUUCCGAAACGGGGAGCAACCUCUUCUUAACAAGAGGCUAAGAAAGGGGAACUCGUGACAGACGAACGUCUACGUGACAUCUAGGCACAACGUUUUUAACGAGAUUAAAAGACACAACGUCUUAUCUAGUAGGUAACAAAAUCUUUUAAGUCACAUUAUUAUUGCUUCCCAUUGGUCAUACAUACGAAACCAGAAAGUAUCCUUGUCGUUACGCAUGAUGGUUUUUCCAAGUAAGUUCACGAUAAAGAUCACAGGAUUUAUAAUGCCAUUGUAAAAAA
RNAcentral lists this ribosomal RNA (2928 nucleotides) under Triticum aestivum (bread wheat). Its description in RNAcentral is "partial small subunit ribosomal RNA". The record is from RNAcentral. Lineage: Eukaryota; Viridiplantae; Streptophyta; Magnoliopsida; Poales; Poaceae.